Acanthosepion pharaonis is the source of this 109-nucleotide non-coding RNA. Lineage: Eukaryota; Metazoa; Mollusca; Cephalopoda; Sepiida; Sepiidae. The record is from the annotation of a GenBank genome assembly.
GCCACAUCAUGUUGAAACACCAGUUCCCAUACAAUCACUGAAGUUAAGCAAUGUCAAGCCUGCUCAGUACCGAGUUGGGUGACUGCUUGGGAAUACCAGUUGCUGUAAG